GAUGAACGCUGGCGGCGUGCUUAACACAUGCAAGUCGAACGGAAAGGCCGAAGCUUGCUUCGGUACUCGAGUGGCGAACGGGUGAGUAACACGUGGGUGAUCUGCCCUGUACUUCGGGAUAAGCUUGGGAAACUGGGUCUAAUACCGGAUAUGACGAUCUCUUGGAUGGGGUUGUGGAAAGCUUUUGCGGUAUGGGAUGAGCUCGCGGCCUAUCAGCUUGUUGGUGGGGUAAUGACCUACCAAGGCGUCGACGGGUAGCCGGCCUGAGAGGGUGUACGGCCACAUUGGGACUGAGAUACGGCCCAGACUCCUACGGGAGGCAGCAGUGGGGAAUAUUGCACAAUGGGCGCAGGCCUGAUGCAGCGACGCCGCGUGGGGGAUGACGGCCUUCGGGUUGUAAACUCCUUUCGCAAUCGACGAAGCCUUUUGGUGACGGUAGGUUGAGAAGAAGCACCGGCUAACUACGUG
Molecule: ribosomal RNA, 468 nt
Filed under: uncultured bacterium
Lineage: Bacteria
Description: partial 16S ribosomal RNA
Rfam family: Bacterial small subunit ribosomal RNA
Source: RNAcentral